ACGGGUGAGUAACACGUGGGUAACCUGCCUUCGAGCGGGGGAUAACAUUCCGAAAGGAGUGCUAAUACCGCAUAAGACCACGCUUUCGAAAGAGAGAGCGGUCAAAGCUGGCCUCUGUACACAAGCUAGCACUCGAGGAUGGGCCCGCGGGGCAUCAGGUAGUUGGUAGGGUAAUGGCCUACCAAGCCUAAGACGCCUAGCUGGUCUGAGAGGAUGAUCAGCCACACUGGAACUGAGACACGGUCCAGACUCCUACGGGAGGCAGCAGUGGGGAAUCUUGCGCAAUGGGCGAAAGCCUGACGCAGCGAUGCCGCGUGAGUGAUGAAGGCCUUCGGGUUGUAAAGCUCUGUGGGGAGAGACGAAUAAGUGCGGGCUAAUACUCCGCAUGAUGACGGUAUCUCCUUAGCAAGCACCGGCUAACUCUGUGCCAGCAGCCGCGGUAAGACAGAGGGUGCAAACGUUGUUCGGAAUUACUGGGCGUAAAGCGAGUGUAGGCGGUUUCGUAAGUCAGGUGUGAAAGCCCCGGGCUCAACCCGGGAAGUGCACUUGAUACUGCGAGGCUAGAGUACUGGAGAGGUUGGUG
Molecule: ribosomal RNA, 583 nt
Filed under: uncultured bacterium
Lineage: Bacteria
Description: bacterial SSU rRNA
Rfam family: Bacterial small subunit ribosomal RNA
Source: RNAcentral